Ipomoea triloba (trilobed morning glory) is the source of this 990-nucleotide long non-coding RNA. RefSeq lists it as uncharacterized. The record is from RefSeq and is a predicted model, not a curated record. NCBI's taxonomy places the organism in Eukaryota, Viridiplantae, Streptophyta, Magnoliopsida, Solanales, Convolvulaceae. The transcript is spliced from 2 exons.
UAGCGGAAGAAAUGAUAGUCGAGGACUAUAAGUGGAAAUUGCCCUUCUACACACAUCUGAUCAUAUACAUCAUUUUUUUAGUGACGAGGGAAACCCACAGCCACUAUCCGAGGGUGUGCAUUAGAUAAACCUUGCCUUGUAACCAUAGCCGGCAAAGUACCCCAAAGUCCACAAGGCGGUAAACUAACCUAAGUUGUCUAUAGAUGAUUGACUCAAAUUAAGAAGUCCGAUAGGCCACUCUUGAUGUGAGUCGAACUUGUAACCUUGUGGUUACCAAGUCAACUACCUGACCAAUUUGAUUAUGAUUGCCUCUCAUAUAUAUCGUUUUAAUACAUGCACUCCCUUACCAUCAUCCUCUUCCGUUGCACCGGGGCGAGCCACGAAAAAUGGUUCGGAGGGUAUGGAGCCUUCAUCAUACCAGUUCUUUGCCUUUUUCCCAACCAAGUCAAUCUGCAACAUAUUGUCAUUGGUUAGAUGCAAAGAACAGAAAAGUUAUCACUUGAUUUAAGACACAAUUUUUUCAUAGAAAAAGAAUGAGAUUGAUAUACCUUUGUGAGGGUAUUAGGAAAGUUGCAGGGCCUCUGAGCACCACAGGCAUAGGCAUAUCUGUAUUUCUUGCCCAAGAAUGAAGGGUUAAAGCUGCACAUGUCCAUACCUCUGCCAUGCUCAUUUGGAUCCAAGGCUGCUUCCAACUUCCCAUAGGGACUCCCAUCCAAUGGGUUUCCACCGUCGAAUGCAAUGAUUAAUCUCUUGCUGAAUUGUAGGCACCUUUUUGGGUGUGAUAGCUAGUCUGGAGAUUUAAGGCUGCUUCAUACCCAAUGCCAACGAUCAAACCCUUAACCUUUGGUUAAGGAUGGAUGAGUCCUUUGCUACUCAACCACAACCCCAGAUUGACAAUAUACUUUUAUAAGUCCAACUCUCGCCAUACGUUCAGAUUUUAAUGCAGAAAUAUUAGGAAAUGAAUAAAACUAUGACAUACUUUUUCUUGAA